RNAcentral lists this ribosomal RNA (449 nucleotides) under uncultured bacterium. RNAcentral describes it as "bacterial SSU rRNA". It matches the Rfam family "Bacterial small subunit ribosomal RNA", at positions 355 to 796 of the family's 1533-position model. The record is from RNAcentral.
UGGGGAAUAUUGGACAAUGGGGGCAACCCUGAUCCAGCAAUGCCGCGUGUGUGAAGAAGGCCUUCGGGUUGUAAAGCACUUUAGGCGGGGAAGAAGAUAUGGAGUUUAAGAGAUGCCAUAUUUGACGGUACCCGCAGAAUAAGCACCGGCUAACUCUGUGCCAGCAGCCGCGGUAAUACAGAGGGUGCGAGCGUUAAUCGGAUUUACUGGGCGUAAAGGGCGCGUAGGUGGUUUGGUAAGUGAGAUGUGAAAUCCCUGGGCUUAACCUAGGAACUGCAUCUUAUACUGCUGAACUGGAGUACGGUAGAGGGUAGUGGAAUUUCCGGUGUAGCGGUGAAAUGCGUAGAUAUCGGAAGGAACACCAGUGGCGAAGGCGGCUACCUGGACUGAUACUGACACUGAGGCGCGAAAGCGUGGGGAGCAAACAGGAUUAGAUACCCCCGUAGUCC